GACGAACGCUGGCGGCGUGCUUAACACAUGCAAGUCGAACGGAAAGGCCCUGCUUUUGUGGGGUGCUCGAGUGGCGCACGGGUGAGUAACGCGUGAGUAACCUGCCCUUGACUUUGGGAUAACUUCAGGAAACUGGGGCUAAUACCGGAUAGGAGCUCCUGCUGCAUGGUGGGGGUUGGAAAGUUUCGGCGGUUGGGGCUGGACUCGCGGCUUAUCAGCUUGUUGGUGGGGUAGUGGCUUACCAAGGCUUUGACGGGUAGCCGGCCUGGGAGGGUUAACGGGCACAAUGGGACUGAGAUACGGACCAGAAUCCAACGGGAGGCAGCAGGGGGGAAUAUUGCACAAUGGGCGGAAGCCAGAGGCAGAAACGCCGCGUGCGGGAUGACGGCCUUCGGGUUGUAAACAGCUUUCGACUGUGACGAAGCGUGAGUGACGGUAAUGGGUAAAGAAGCACCGGCUAACUACGUG
RNAcentral lists this ribosomal RNA (468 nucleotides) under uncultured bacterium. Its description in RNAcentral is "partial 16S ribosomal RNA". It matches the Rfam family "Bacterial small subunit ribosomal RNA", at positions 28 to 507 of the family's 1533-position model. The record is from RNAcentral.